RNAcentral lists this ribosomal RNA (440 nucleotides) under uncultured bacterium. RNAcentral describes it as "partial 16S ribosomal RNA". It matches the Rfam family "Bacterial small subunit ribosomal RNA", at positions 339 to 795 of the family's 1533-position model. The record is from RNAcentral.
CUACGGGCUGCUCCAGUGAGGAAUAUUGCACAAUGGGGGGAACCCUGAUGCAGCAACGCCGCGUGGAGGAUGACGCAUUUCGGUGUGUAAACUCCUUUUAUAUGUCAAGAAAAUGACGGUAGCAUAUGAAUAAGCACCGGCUAACUCCGUGCCAGCGAGCCGCGGUAAUACGGAGGGUGCAAGCGUUACUCGGAAUCACUGGGCGUAAAGGACGCGUAGGCGGGUUGGAAAGUCAGGUGUGAAAUCCUACAGCUUAACUGUAGAACUGCACUUGAAACUUCUAGUCUAGAGUAUGGGAGGGGGAGAUGGAAUUAGUGGUGUAGGGGUAAAAUCCGUAGAUAUCACUAGGAAUACCUAAAGCGAAGGCGAUCUCCUGGAACAUUACUGACGCUAAGGCGUGAAAGCGUGGGGAGCAAACAGGAUUAGAUACCCCAGUAGUC